ACUCCUGACCUCAAGUGAUCCACCUGCCUCAGCCUCCCAAAGUGGCGGGAUUACAGACGUGAGCCACCGUGCCCGGCCCAUUGUAUUAUUCUCACUCUGAUAAUUGUUAUAUAUGAACAUACGGGACAAACACAUUGGUCCUUUCCUGCCCAUCUUUCUUGUGUUUUCUUCUGCAAAAUCCUGGCUAACUUAUUUACAAUUUAAUAUUCUUCAAGUAAUACCUAGUGAUAUAGUCUAAUACUGAAUUCAAAAGCAUUAUUUAGAUUUUGCGCCUUUUUGGCUUGAAAUUUAAGUUUGCUUGGCCUUGGUAUUUUUGGCCCUGUGCAUUGCUGCCAGUCUUCAAAGAGCCACUUCUCCCUUUGCAGAAGACGCUCUUUCUACUAUCAAGAACCAUGUUGUGGAAAAGCAGAUUCUCUUUUGUACCACCUACAUAUUUCCCAAAGCCUCCUUGUGUUAUCGGCUAAAACUGGCAGCAGAUAUCAUACUUCUACCACCUGUAUGCUUGUGCCCUUCAGCUUCCUUCUUUGUCUUCAUCCCUCUAGAGGGACAGUGACUGUAUCUCCUAAAGACAGCAUUGAUUAUCACAUAUAAUCACAGAAGACAGUGGAAUCUUUCCACACAUUUUAUCCCAGGAAAACCGUUCAUUCCCUUUAGUCUCAUAACAUCGAAAUAUGAACUCAUGAAUGCCUUGGCAGGGAGCCAACUAUACCCUCUCUCCUCUGCCUCUUGGAAAAGAUGAUAAAACUGUUCCAAUGUGACUAUCCUGAAAAUCCUUUUUCUCCUGUAUGGAAUGAGAGGGAGGUUGUCAAUACCCUUAUAGGAAUUCACUAGUCAUCAUCCAUGGAAGUAGAUGAUAUAGAGUACAUUACCCCACCAGUCUAAAAUGUCUUUUAACCUUCUUGAUAUCGGAUUCAAAUUUUCUCUGGUUCUGCAGCAACAUUUUUUUCUUCUAGAUUUCUUGUUGGGUUCUAUUUUUUUUAUUGUCAUUUCGAGUCUUUCAUCCUUCCUAAUAAGCUGAAACCAUAGAAUGACACUCAGCAAGUGUAUUUACCUUCUGCUCAAUAUAGAAGGCUCUCCUGCAUGUGCAGCAUACACAGUGUUGAGGGUCUCAGGCAGCCGGACAAAUGUCACAGAAAAUUCAGCAAUAUCUUCUGUGGUCCUAACUCCCAGACAUCAACAUAUAUUGUUCCCGUCUCAGGUCCCCUUAUAAGGGAUUUCCUGUUCCUUGUUAUAGGUAGACUCCUGUUGCAGGAUUGUGUGUGGUGGUGGUGAUGACGGUCGGUCCCUAGUAAUGCUGCCACUAACCAGUGUUCUGUAUGGGUUAGAUAUGCAUGUUGUACAGACCAUGCACUGAAUUACUGAACUGCCUUGUUUAAAACCAAAGAAGGGCCUACCUGGAAAGGUGACGUUUUCAUUGCCUCUCAUUUUUCUUUACUGCUCAUCCUCCUAACAUCUAGUUAAAUCAAUUGGAAUCUGAUUAGAGGGCUGGGAAGAUGAAUGAGAAGUGGUUGAUUGGAGUACUAAAAACUUUGUGGAUUUGUGUAGACUUGGACCAGGGAGCUAUAGAGUUUGGGGGUACUGGGGACCAAAGGUUUCUGGGUCGAGGCCUGGGUCUUGGGUUCUUUACCCACAGAGGAGGGACAACUCAAGCUCUGAACAGGAGAAAAGGAAAUGAUGCUUCUCCUCACAUCUUCCUUCUGUGAGUUCCUUAUCCACUCGUCUCACUUUUUACUCGCCUCGUAUGUCAUUGUUUUCCAUUUCUUGGGACGAAAGGACAGCCAAAGCAGUGUGGAUUUUACCUCAGCUACAUGAUGACAGACUUGAUUUCUAUGGGCUAGACUUGGAACCAAACUACUAUUAAAGUCUUGUUUCUGUGGAAAAAAUCAUUACAAAUUUGAAAGACAUUUACAAGUUAACUUUUGGAAUUAAAUAAAUUUGUCCCUUGGGGGCUGACUGUACAAGAUUCACUAAGUAUUAAUAAAUAGUAAAAGAUAAAUAUUAGAAUGCUAUAUUUCAAGCGUAUGAUACCUAGUGUUCAAUUAGUAUGUUUUAUUAUCAAACCAGAUAAAUAAAAAGGUUACUUCAUAAAAACAGAGACUAUAAUAUUUUAAAAGUUUUUUUAAAAGCAAAUUUUAUGUAGGCCUUGAAGCCGUGUUGGCCAGGCUGGUCUCAGACUCCCGACCUCAGGUGAUCCACCUGCCUCAGCCUCCCGAAGUGCUGGGAUUACAGGCAUGACCCACAAAGCCUGGCCAAAUGUUCUUUAAUGGGAAUUUGUGUUAAAAUAAAAUUCUCCAUGUAAUAUAUAUAUAUGUAAGUCUGUGUGUAUAUGCAUAUGUAUAUUUCCCAACAGAAUUGCUAAAGUAAAAGUGAUAAGGCAAAGAUGAUAUCUGUUUCCAUAGAAGCAUCUCUCUGAAACGAAACAAAUAAAAAUUAUACUUUGUAUCACUAGUAAAAUUUAACUUGAUUAUCUGAAGACUAAUUAUAUUAACUUAUAUUACCUAAAGUGCAGUUUUUCCCCCACUCUAGUAAUUAGAGGGAUAUUAAUAGCUGUUAUAUUCUAAUACUUGAGAGUCAAAACUGGUAAUGUACCCUCCCUCUGCCCACAAUUUAGCACAUGGCAAAAUAAUGAUACAAGAGACAUUACAAUAUACAGUUGUCAAAAUGUACCUGGAAGCUCUUAGAGGAAUAUUAGAACAACUGGCGACAGGUGAAAUAAAAGAAGUCUCAACUUUCUGAAUUCAGGAGGAUUCAGCAGAAUUUCCUAUAAUGUCACUUUGGGCAUUUAAAAAUGUUUCCCGCAAUUAGAAUAGCAACUACAUGUGGAAUAGAUUCAAAACUGCUUACUAAGUUGUUUGUUAUCUAUUUCCCUUUGGUUUCCUGAGGCCACAGAGACAAGGAAUUGGCCUGAGUUUUCACCUCAAAAACUGAAACACAUUAGCAGUGGCACCUUUUCAGGCGCUCCUGUGUCAUUCCCCGAAAAUCACAGACAUGCAGUCCAGUUAAAAUUGUACUUUGUGGAAACCAAAGGAACGUAGCCCAGGAGCACCUAGGAACUGCUCAUAUGCUUGGAGAAGCUAAAAGACACGCUUACAUGAACCACAGGAAGCCUUCUCUGGCCCUCUGAAAAUAAACACAUCUUUUGCAUAGAUGCGCUCUCGUAGCUGCCAGUGCUCUGCCAGGGAGAAUUGUUAUUUUAAAUGGAGACUCUUUCUGUAUCUGCAGGAAGAAUUUAUAUCCAGUCAGAGAGAACGUAGAGAGCAGUUCUUGUUGCCCGUCACAUUUUAGUGCAGGGAAGUGCUUUGCCCUAAAGGUGCCAGGUAAAGAGAAUUGCCAAGUAAAGAAAAUUUAUUGAAUGCAUUUUCCAAUAGGGAAGCAUAAUCUGACAUUUUUGUUUCUCGGAUCUCAGAAAAAUAACUUUCCUCAGUUCUUAUAUCAAGUAAGAGGACAUGCAAAGGCAAAAACAAAAACAAAAAUACCAUUUGGUCUUAGAACGCAUUCAUGUACAUUUUCUUCUAUUUGAUAAUGUUUUAUUCAUAAUUAUUUCAUAUGCUUUUCUUUUUUCAAAUGUCUGCCUGCAGCACACGUCAGGAUGCUGGAUUUCUUAGCAAAAGCUCUCCUUGGAACCACAUUAUCAUGGGUCCGUAUGAUUAUUCCCUUAGGACUAUCCACUUGAGAGUAACGCAAUGGCCUCCACCUCCCAGCCUUUAGGACCUAAAUGAUGGAGUUAAAGAAUCAAACUUUCUUUUGAAAGCCAGUAGCAGUCCCACGUCCACAUCAGGUUUGAGGGGUGCUCGCCUCCCUGACUGGCUAGUAGCAUUUCUCUUACCUGGAGGAAGGCUAAUUGAAUAAUAUCCUGGGCCAAGCAUGCGUCUCUCCUGAAACAGUCAUAUUCUGCUAUAUCUUUCCGGUUUCUUCCCUUGAUGCUGACUCCUCUUGGAGGCCAAGAAAGAAGCAAACAGGGUUCCCCAAGGUCUCAGAAGAUUAUCUCACACAGAGCUGUUGGAAUUACUUCGUGAUGAUUUCAAAGAAAAUUUUCUUCUCUAAACACUCUUAUCCCAAGACUCUGCAGAAACCCAGCAGCAAUAAGCUUUUAUAGCUUUCUUAUUCUGUCAAUCAGUUCCCAUUUCCAAAUACGAAAAAGGCCAAGGAAGUUUGUCCUCCUUUGAAUUCUCAGCUUCCCAGGUCAUGAAAAUGUCCUUCUCCUCACUGAAAAGCUCACCAAGGAAGUCAAAAUGAAAGAAAGAAGCAGACAGGGCCGAGGCUCCCUGAGAUGCAGAAACUGAGGCACAGAGCAAGGUUAAGUAAAUUGUUCAAGCCAUAUAAGUGAACACUGAAACAUGCCUCCUCUUUCCUGGCUCCACCAAGCAGAGUUUGGGCUUCAAGAAGACUGAAUGCAUCUGUACAGAGCACAAUCCCUUCUCCAAGAAGGAAACCAUGGGGCUUAUCAAGAAAGGGGGCAUACUGUUUAAAGAUCUUGAAUGCUGGGACAGUCCUCUUCUUCUUCACCAGAUCCUGUAUUCCACUUAAUCACCUCCUGCGAAUUCCUAGACAUGAGGAAUCUAGAUGAAGACUUAGUAUUCAGAAUGCAAUGCAAGCACUUAAUAAAUAUAUGUUGAAUUCCUACGAAUAAGGACAGUGUGUUAGCUGUUAGCUAGAGCAUACACUUCAUCUCUUUCUUUCUGGGUGACUUAUCUUGUUGCCUCAAUUUACAAAUUGUAUCAUUCCAUCUGGAAAUGAAAUCUGGCCAGGUUUUAGUGAACUUCCCUCACAGCCUGUGUGUUCAGUCCGAUCAUCACACAUGGUACAUAUUUUUAAAUCACCAGUUAUUCAGCAUUGUGGGUUCCUUGAGGUGUCUCAACUAAGUGAGGUGUGGAAGGGUAAAAUUGUAACUUGGUGUGGUGGAUAUUUAAUAAGUGGUAAACCGCAGCAUUCUCCAUUUGAAAGCUAAUUAAGGCCACUAGCUGACCGUGCUUGUGCAGAAAACAUAUUCAUGGUUUAACCAUGGAAACAGUCAUAACAGCGCUCAGCUAAAAAUAAUAGGCAUAAGAGACAUUUUCACUGAUCACUCUUCAGUGCUUAUUUAUUUAUUUAUGUAUUUAUUUUAAGUAUAAGAGUUGUCACAUUUUUUAGGAAAUACCCAGCAGCACUAGCUCAUUUUGAUACUUCAAAGUUUGACUUGUUCCAUCAUAGAUACUAAUCUGAGGAGUGAUGUUAGGGGACAGCUGCAAGACCAAAUUGUGUUUUUUAAUGCUGUAUGCAGGAAUGUCUCAAAAGAUAAUCAUCCCUUAUGCUCUCUUGUAUCUCUUUCCUUGUUAAUACUGGCCUUUAAUAUGUGAUGUGAUGACUUUUUGUCACAAGAGAAGUUAACCCUCUAACACCUAUUAACUUAUUUUAUCUAAAUUGAGUUUGUGUUUGUUGAAGAGACCUCCUUUACUGACAGAUGAUAUAAUAUGAAUUAUGUUUCUGUGUGCUCAUUGUUUCUUCACAAUAAGAGUACUGUAAUAUAACAAUAUAUUUUAUUGUGCAAUAUAUUACUUUGGCUAAUAGAAUUGAAAAAACACAUCAAAUGUAAAUAUUUUUUCAGUAUCUGGAUGGUGAAGUUAGAUUGUCUUAUCAAAUAUCUUAAUGCUCUUCUGGGAUCCAGCAAUAUUUAGUGUCACUGAAAUAGGGGAUAGCAGAGUAUCAGACAGAUGUGAUGAAAGCAUGACCAAGGUAAAGGGAUCUCAAGGAGGCUGAAAUGAUCUGGGGGCAUUGUUAGGCUAGUUGAUUGCAAGUUGUUUUUAACUGAACAAUAAGAAUUCUGUUUGAAAUCACUUUGGGGAGUGACCACACAGUAAUCUUGGUCCAUGAUCAUUUCAAUUAAUUUUAAGUUAAUUUCAUUUAAUUUGUCUUACUGACAUUGAACCAUAUCGAGACCACAUAUUACAAGAAUUUACUUCCUAUUCUCCCAUUCAUCCACACAGCAAUGGGUCUCUAAGCACAUCUCUGGGAGAAUUUUGAGCUCAAAUGACACUUCAACAUUGGAAGGAUUUGGUAGAGAAAACAAAUUGGUGCAGUGAGACAUGUAUUUUCCACACCUUCCAAGAGCUAGACCUCAUAUCCUACAUAUGCCAUCAUUUAACCAAAUAGAGAUAGGAUCAUGGUCCAAGAGCCAUAGGAAUUCAGAUCUGGGUUUAGAACAUUUUCUUGCUUAACCUGGCCAUAUCUACAGCAGAAUAUGGUAAACAGAACUGACCUAGAACUGUCAUCCCUACAAAUUCUCACUUAUGGCUCUUUUUAGCCUAAGACUAGAUGACAAACAUUGAUCUCUCCUGGUAUCGGUUGAGUUUCUCAGGCUCCAUUUUUCUCACUGACUACUUUAAAUGAAUGCCAUUUUUGCUGGUUUGUUCCUCCUCCUUCCCACUCUCCUUUCAUUUUCGUUAUUUGUUCUAAUUUAAUUUGAAAUGGCCAGCAUCUGACUGUAAUCAGGUAAGGGGACUCAGGAGACUUCCAGCAAGAGCAGGUCUUCUGAAAAGGGUCUUUUGGACACAACAGAAUGAGCCUUUAUUUAUUAUCUCAGGGAUAACAAAAUGGGGAGUGAGCAAGACUGCGCGGCAGCUGUCCUUUCAAGCAGCAGCUAACUUGGUGGAACGCUCCGGUCCCCAGGGUGUGAACAGACCGCCCCUUGGCUGAAAGUCAUCCCGCUGUCCCUGGCUGCUGGUUCUCUAGGCCAACACAAACAAACAUAACAAAACAUGCAGGGAAAGUGUCAACAGAAACCCGUUUUCUAGGAACCUGGCUUUUGGAAAUGAACUGGAUUUGCAGUCCAUACAAAGGCUUGGCAAGGUUUCAUUGGCCAUGGCCACACUCCUCACACUGUGACUCCUAUCCAUCAGGUGGGACGUUUGGCUUAUUAGGCACAUGUGCUCUAUUUCAUCUGAGAUCCUCCAGAGAAAGGCCUUGGUUAUUCCCAUUCCUCCCCAAUAACCAAAUGAAGAUUACUGGGGAGGAACAAACACUGAAAUUUGCAAAGGAUCUCCUGGGUUUAAAUUCUUGUUUUAUAACCUGAGAAAAUCACUCUCUCUAACCCUCAGUUUCUUCAUUAAUAAACUAGGGAUAACAAUAUUUCCUUUAUAAUCAUGGUGACCAAAUAAAAGAGAGAGAUGUGUUAUCAUUGAGAAAAAUAUCACAAUAUUUCGACCAAGGUUAAGUUUGGUGUGGAGAGCCAAUGAAAGCACAGAUGUGAAAAUGCUUGAGAAUUGGAAAAGUACUAUAGACAUAAAAUACAUGAUUAUUGUUAUUAUCUUCAAGGAAUUUAGUCAUUUUUCUCCAUAACAGAAAAAACGUGGUGAUCCUUAUCCCUACAUUUAUGCCUGGAUCUAUCACAUCUAGAAGGUCUUCUGCCUUGCACGGGGAGACAGCCCACACACAUCUGUCCCUUCAUUUCGCAGAAGUGUAGCAGAUAGCUCAGUUACAGACCAGGUAAGACUGCAUUGUCCAGAUACUUUCAUGGCGCAGAACUUACACAUAUACAAUGAUCUUGGGUAUUUAAUAUUCAUGUGUUGUGAGUUCCCAGGAAGAGUUGAGAAAAGGUAAAAAAAAAACCAUGCUAGUCCAUGGUUCAGUUCCUGCAAGAGAAAAGCAUGAUGAAAUGGGAUACUGAGAGCUCUGACCUAUCAGACCUUACCCAAUGUCCAGCUAUAUGAUUUCUUUCAGGAUGUGGAGACAUUGGCUUUUCUAUAGUUAGUUGCCAAAUUAAUUUUUGGUCAAUGCAGAUGCUUUAUCCUGCCACAUACAUCUUCCUAAGAACAUGUGUGUGUAAAGGAGACAACAAGACUCUUUAGGAAGUAGGAAAUAGAGGUAAGUCAGAGAAAGAAAAUAAUGAAAAAGAAUGAUAAAACCUAUAGCUCAGGCAUGUUCGUCUCUUUAUUUCUAGCAUUUAACCCAGGACCUGAUUCUUUGUGGAAUGUUGCACGAUUGAAAAUAAUUGUGGAAGACUGUGACUGUGUCGUCUGUUUUUAAAGUAACACUCCACUCCCUUGAACCUAUACAGAACCUAUUGCAGUACCUUAUACAGGGUGAACACACAAUGCUUUGUGGUACCAGAAGGAACUUACAGCUGGGCGUGGUGGUGUGCCUGUAGUCCCAGCUCCUCAGGAGGCUGAGAAGGGAGGAUGGCUUGAGCCCAGGACU
Molecule: non-coding RNA, 8172 nt
Organism: Chlorocebus sabaeus (green monkey)
Lineage: Eukaryota; Metazoa; Chordata; Mammalia; Primates; Cercopithecidae
Source: RefSeq, a predicted model, not a curated record